Molecule: transfer RNA, 72 nt
Filed under: Analipus japonicus
Lineage: Eukaryota; Phaeophyceae; Ralfsiales; Ralfsiaceae
Description: tRNA-Ile
Rfam family: tRNA
About the family: Transfer RNA (tRNA) molecules are approximately 80 nucleotides in length. Their secondary structure includes four short double-helical elements and three loops (D, anti-codon, and T loops).
Source: RNAcentral
GGGCUUGUAACUCAGUGGUAGAGUGUGCGCCUGAUAAGCGUAAAGCCAAUCGUUCAAUCCGAUUCUGGCCCA